AAUUUGCGACAUGUCGAAGAAAUAAAUAUGCAAGCCCUCACAUUGCCCUCAUGAUUGUUGCUUCUGAAUUGUACAUGUUGAAUAGAAGCCAGAAUAUCCUGAAACACUUGGUGACAUUGCUGACCUCACAAUAUCUUUGUAUAGCAUAAAAAUGAAGAAACAAAGAAGUAAUGUUCCAGUAUAUUUGCAGAGGUGAAAUAUUAACGCCAGUUCGAGCACACCGGCCUCGAUGGCAAGAGACCACUACCAUCAGGAUAUGCAUUGUGAUUGAACAUGAGAAAUCCUUUACCUCCCUGUACUUCAAGGUGUGUUCUGCUCUAAAAUGACAAGCACCCAACGAAGUGAGAGCGCAAACCACAUGUUGAAGAGUUAUAUGCCACCUGCUAGCCCGAUGCACAUUUUUUUGAGGCAGUAUAUGAGGCUCCAGUUUGACCGUGGGAGGGAGGAAAGUUAUGAAAGGACUAUUUGUCAGAAAAACUGAUGGAGGUGUCAUCAGGAGAGCAAAUCUGGCAAAUGGCAAUAGAGCAGCAUGCAAGCAAAGUGUACACUCGUGCUAUGUUUUGGAGCCCCGUCGAAAGGUUUGGAGGCCCAGGAAGGUAGUGUUGGGGCGUCCGUCGGCGUGAAUGCGCUUCAAUGACUAGCACCACCGGAGUAGCAGAGAGGUGUAGGGAGGCCGUCGAACAGCCGGGAGAAAGCACCACACGAGGGUCUGAGAAAGCAUACCAGGUUUUGCAGCAUCUGCCCGCGUGAAGGCCACAAGCAGACGACAUGCCCUGAUCGUGGAGAUGCACCUAAACAGCCCCGCAAACCCGGAAAGUGCAAGAACUGUUGAAUGGAAAGGCGCCGCAGGAACACGUGCACACGCCUACUGGGUGGUGCACAGAUGUAGUCUAGAAGAUUUAAAAUUUCGUGUGUAAUGUGUGAUUCAAGGAUUUUCUGGUGUGUGUUGUGAGCCAUGCUCCACGAUUGUUCCUCCAGUGCUUAAUCUUAGUGCUGUUGUAUUCCAUAGUGUUGUAUGGUAAGUCCGUAACUCAACAGAACUUCACAAUUAUGAUAGAAGAAAUGUUGGGCGUGACA
Molecule: long non-coding RNA, 1077 nt
Organism: Triticum aestivum (bread wheat)
Lineage: Eukaryota; Viridiplantae; Streptophyta; Magnoliopsida; Poales; Poaceae
Exons: 3
Source: RefSeq, a predicted model, not a curated record